RNAcentral lists this transfer RNA (94 nucleotides) under Pseudomonas fluorescens. RNAcentral's name for it is "tRNA-Ser". The record is from RNAcentral. Lineage: Bacteria; Pseudomonadati; Pseudomonadota; Gammaproteobacteria; Pseudomonadales; Pseudomonadaceae.
GGUCGAGUUGCUGGCAGGCACUGUCGAGCGAGGCGAUGGCGCUGCCGAAGAUCUUCUGGGUGUAGGCGGCCGGAUCAUCAUCAGCCUCGACCGC